CCUACGGGAGGCAGCAGUGGGGAAUAUUGGUCAAUGGACGGAAGUCUGAACCAGCCAUGCCGCGUGUAUGAAGAAGGCUUUAUGAGUGGUAAACACUUUUUGUACAAGGGAAAACCUGAAGACGUGUAUUCAGCUGAAAGUACGGUACGAAUAAGGAAAGGCUAACUCCGUGCCAGUAGCCGCGGUAAUACGGAGGAUACAAGCGUUAUCCGGAUUUACUGGGGUGAAAGGGUGCGUCGGCGUAUUGAUAAGUUAGAGGGGAAAUGUCCGAGCUUAACUCGGGAACUGCAUCUAAUACUGGUGAGCUAGAGAGCAGAUGCGGUGGGCAGAAUGUAAGGUGUAGCGGUGAAAUGCUUAGAGAU
This 362-nucleotide ribosomal RNA is filed under the name uncultured bacterium. RNAcentral's name for it is "partial 16S ribosomal RNA". It matches the Rfam family "Bacterial small subunit ribosomal RNA", at positions 338 to 697 of the family's 1533-position model. The record is from RNAcentral.